This is a long non-coding RNA of Oncorhynchus keta (chum salmon), 483 nucleotides long. RefSeq lists it as uncharacterized. The transcript is spliced from 4 exons. The record is from RefSeq and is a predicted model, not a curated record. Lineage: Eukaryota; Metazoa; Chordata; Actinopteri; Salmoniformes; Salmonidae.
GAUUAUUAGAAACAGCUCCUUUGAAGGAAUUAUCAUGUAAGAAGUAACAAUUUUGCUAGCUCACGACUGUUUUAUCGAUCAUUUUCAGAAACGCAGAUUACAAGAUCAUGAAACAAAUGUCUCGGCGGGACAAAAUCUUUUCCCGGUGUAGUUUCCCAGGGCUCAGAGCAUAAAAUAGAAGUCCAAUGAAUGUGCACGCGGGGACAUAGCACGAAAAACGGCUUAGAAGUGAUGGCAAACUGUCGAGACCCAUGGUUGCCAUGGGUGACAGUCCGUCAUGAGUAUAUUGGCCGGAAAGCCUACCAGAUCCCUCAUUCUACAGCUGUCAGGGACAUCAAGCAACUUAUCUAUGAAGAAACUGACCUGCCUGUCAUUGAGCAGCAGCUGGUUCACAAUGGGAAAGUGCUGGAUGACAAAGUGCAGAUUGGGACCCUGGUACCCAGGGGAAGCCCUGAAGUAUCCGUGACACUGGAGGGAAGGGGC